AGAUCAACGAAGCUGAACCAUAUCCCGCCGCUCAUAACGGUCUGGUUGCAGGUUCGAGUCCUGCCGGGCCCACCA
RNAcentral lists this transfer RNA (75 nucleotides) under Bradyrhizobium japonicum. RNAcentral's name for it is "tRNA-Met". Lineage: Bacteria; Pseudomonadati; Pseudomonadota; Alphaproteobacteria; Hyphomicrobiales; Nitrobacteraceae. The record is from RNAcentral. RNAcentral also lists the same sequence under 2 other names.